RNAcentral lists this transfer RNA (98 nucleotides) under Neurospora sp. IMI 360204. RNAcentral describes it as "tRNA-Ser". It matches the Rfam family "tRNA". From Rfam's summary of the family: Transfer RNA (tRNA) molecules are approximately 80 nucleotides in length. Lineage: Eukaryota; Fungi; Ascomycota; Sordariomycetes; Sordariales; Sordariaceae. The record is from RNAcentral.
GGCACGAUGACCGAGUGGCCUAAGGUGUUUGACUCGAACUACCAUUCGAGGUCUAUCAAAUCUCUUCGGAGGCACAAGUUCGAAUCUUGUUCGUGUCG